This 479-nucleotide ribosomal RNA is filed under the name uncultured bacterium. RNAcentral's name for it is "partial 16S ribosomal RNA". It matches the Rfam family "Bacterial small subunit ribosomal RNA", at positions 28 to 507 of the family's 1533-position model. The record is from RNAcentral.
GACGAACGCUGGCGGCGCGCUUAACACAUGCAAGUCGAGCGAUGAAAUUUCGACAGAUCCCUUCGGGGUGAAGAUGAAAUGGAUUAGCGGCGGACGGGUGAGUAACACGUGAGUAACCUGCCUUUGACAUUGGGAUAGCCUCGGGAAACUGGGAUUAAUACCAAAUGACACUAACUGAUCACAUGAUCAAUUAGUCAAAGAAAUUCGGUCAAAGAUGGACUCGCGGCUGAUUAGCUAGUUGGUGAGGUAACGGCCCACCAAGGCGACGAUCAGUAGCCGGCCUGAGAGGGUGAUCGGCCACAUUGGAACUGAGACACGGUCCAAACUCCUACAGGAGGCAGCAGUGGGGAAUAUUGCACAAUGGGGGAAACCCUGAUGCAGCGACGCCGCGUGAGCGAAGAAGGCCUUCGGGUCGUAAAGCUCUUUUAUGAGGGAAGAUAAUGACGGUACCUCAAGAAAAAGCCCCGGCUAACUACGUG